GCUAAACAGCGAACGGCAAAAGCAAAGGAAAACGGUCACAAAUUUUUAAACUAACUACGCGCCUAGCUUUGAUUUCCCUUAAGACUAUUCAUCUCAACAUAUUCAUAUCUUAUGUACUCGUAGAUACAAAUUUUAAUUCAAUAAAUUCUCCAAAGAAGGCAGCAAAAUUUAAAGAUAAAAACAAAAAGAAAUCAACCGGAACAGCGCAAAACUGUUGCUUCUGCUGCUGUCGCUACGGUGCUGCGCGGCGGCCUAUCUGAUGAUGAAGAUGAUGAUCGCGUCGAGAAACGUGUAUGAUGUCAGAAGACUUGCAAACCAUCAACUUCCAUCAAGUUGAUGACCCUAACAAUUGGACCAGAAAAUGUAUACCUAUGUAUUUAUUUAUUUUUGACCAAAGUCACAUUUUUUGGUCUAAAUCAGUUGUUGGCAUUCAUUGGAAUUAUGAAUAAGAGCCAAUAAAUCAUCAUUUAAUUAUACCUCUAUGAUAUUGAUACACAUGCCUCGCGCCACCAGACAACCACCACUUUAGCCAAGGGACACAUUCGUAUCAAACGAUAUAAAUAAUUGUAUGUAUGGCGGUGAAUGCGACUCGGCGGUGGGUGGAAGUGGAGACAGAUGGGUUGGAAUAUUGUAGAAAAAGAACCAGACAACAAUCGGCAAAUAAAUUGAAAUCAAUCAGGCGAUAUGUAUCGCUUCGCCAUUCUAGUUAGUAGGUACCUAGGUAUCUAGUAGCAAGAAGUGAGAUGUGGAUAAAAUGUGGCAUGAUGGUGUUGCUUUGGCAACAACCUUCGCCUCCUUCACCAUCCCAACUCAUAAAAUUGGCGCAGAAUUUCAACGUAGAAAACAGAGAAAUCGUUUUAUAAUACAUAUAUACACGAGUAUGAUAGGUAAAUAGGUGAAUAAAACAACGUACAACUUCAACUUACCAGAUCAACAGAUAGCCCGGAUAGGUCAGCCAGCCAUAGGAAUGUCCGACUGCCAUCAUAGUAAGUGUCUUCAUCCGCAGCAGAUUGGGUCGGGAUGGGAAACUCUUCGAGCAUUUUGCGUGUGGGAUUUGUGAACCGCGAUGAAUUGCAGAAAUGUCGAUAUUAAAAAUAAAAUAAUAUGAAAUACUUCGUCUUCUUUUUAGACCAACAGAACAGAACUUAAACUGUUUGCUUUUGCAGAGGUAUCAUUCAGGUAAAAGAGUAAAUAAAAAUAGGACGCGCGAUGUUUAGAAUCUUCGUUAGCUAUCCUCCCCCGAGUGAAGGAUAAUUCGCU
Eupeodes corollae is the source of this 1260-nucleotide long non-coding RNA. RefSeq lists it as uncharacterized. Lineage: Eukaryota; Metazoa; Arthropoda; Insecta; Diptera; Syrphidae. The record is from RefSeq and is a predicted model, not a curated record. The transcript is spliced from 2 exons.